UUCUGAGUAUGGUAAGCUGAAGGCAGCA
This 28-nucleotide non-coding RNA is filed under the name Rattus norvegicus (Norway rat). The record is from RNAcentral. Lineage: Eukaryota; Metazoa; Chordata; Mammalia; Rodentia; Muridae.